This 326-nucleotide ribosomal RNA is filed under the name uncultured eukaryote. RNAcentral describes it as "partial 18S ribosomal RNA". It matches the Rfam family "Eukaryotic small subunit ribosomal RNA", at positions 1470 to 1796 of the family's 1831-position model. The record is from RNAcentral.
CCCUUAGAUGUUCUGGGCCGCACGCGCGCUACACUGAUGCAUUCAACAAGCCUAGCCUUGACCGAGAGGUCCGGGUAAUCUUUGAAACUGCAUCGUGAUGGGGCUAGAUUAUUGCAAUUAUUAAUCUUCAACGAGGAAUGCCUAGUAAGCGUGAUUCAUCAAAUCGCGUUGAUUACGUCCCUGCCCUUUGUACACACCGCCCGUCGCUCCUACCGAUUGAAUGUAUUGGUGAGGAGCUCGGAUUGGCAGCAGUUGGUGGUUCGCCACCGGCUAUUGCUGAGAAGUCCUCCAAACCGCCCCAUUUAGAGGAAGGAGAAGUCGUAACA